GAUGAACGCUGGCGGCGUGCCUAAUACAUGCAAGUCGAGCGAACAGACGAUGACCUUGCUCCCCUGACGUUAGCGUCUGACGUGCGAGUAACAGGUUGAUAACCAACUUAUAAGACUGGGAGAACGUCGGGAAACCUGAGCUAGUACCGUAUAAUAGCUUGAACCGCAUUGUUCAAUAGUAAUAGAUUGUUUUGCUCUCACUCAUAGAUACAUCCGCGCCGUAUUAGCUAGUUGGUAAGGUAACGGCUUACCAAGGCAACGAUGCGUAGCCGACCUGAGAGGGUGAUCGGCCACACUGGAACUGAGACACGGCCCAGACUCCUACGGGAGGCAGCAGUAGGGAAUCUUCCGCAAUGGGCGAAAGCCUGACGGAGCAACGCCGCGUGAGUGAUGAAGGUCUUCGGAUCGUAAAACUCUGUUAUUAGGGAAGAACAAAUGUGUAAGUAAAUAUGCACGUCUUGACGGUAACUAAUCAGAAAGCCACGGCUAACUACGUG
This 497-nucleotide ribosomal RNA is filed under the name uncultured bacterium. RNAcentral's name for it is "partial 16S ribosomal RNA". It matches the Rfam family "Bacterial small subunit ribosomal RNA", at positions 28 to 507 of the family's 1533-position model. The record is from RNAcentral.